Molecule: transfer RNA, 70 nt
Filed under: Cryptocellus narino
Lineage: Eukaryota; Metazoa; Arthropoda; Arachnida; Ricinulei; Ricinoididae
Description: tRNA-Lys
Source: RNAcentral
CGUUAAAAAGCUGAAAGACAGCAUUGGUCUCUUAAACCACCACUUAGUAAACAACGCCUACUUUUAACGA